UACGGGGGGGGCAAGCGUUGUUCGGAAUUACUGGGCGUAAAGGGCUCGUAGGUGGCCAACUAAGUCAUACGUGAAAUCCCUCGGCUUAACCGGGGAACUGCGUCUGAUACUGGGUGGCUUGAAUCCGGGAGAGGGAUGCGGAAUUCCAGGUGUAGCGGUGAAAUGCGUAGAUAUCUGGAGGAACACCGGUGGCGAAGGCGGCAUCCUGGACCGGCAUUGACGCUGAGGCGCGAAAGCCAGGGGAGCAAACGGG
This 253-nucleotide ribosomal RNA is filed under the name uncultured bacterium. RNAcentral describes it as "partial 16S ribosomal RNA". It matches the Rfam family "Bacterial small subunit ribosomal RNA", at positions 524 to 776 of the family's 1533-position model. The record is from RNAcentral.